RNAcentral lists this long non-coding RNA (398 nucleotides) under Amborella trichopoda. RNAcentral's name for it is "long non-coding RNA (ATRI_LNC003801)". Lineage: Eukaryota; Viridiplantae; Streptophyta; Magnoliopsida; Amborellales; Amborellaceae. The record is from RNAcentral.
UUGUAACAAUUUUGUGCAAGUAAAUUGAGACCAUUAUUCCAAAUGAAGUGAGACAUAGGAAUGCGUAAGGAGCGAGUGAAUGGAGAAAAUGUUUGUGAGGGAACAUGAAAUCUUUUUACAUCAUACAAAUUUGAAGAUAGGAGUGCAUGGAGCAUAGUUAAUAGCUCCCAUGGUUUAAGAUAUUUUAUCAAGGAUUGGUUAGGUUGGAUUGUGGACAGUUAUAUUUCGUUUAGAGAAAUACUUUGUACUAUUUCAAAAUAAUAUUUACUAAAAAAUCGAGUCCCCACCGAUUCGAACUCCGGUGGCCAAGUGACGAGGGCAUGGUACUAAAAUUAUGGCAAAACGGCUGAGUAACGGUUGGCACCAAUUUGAUUUGAUCAGGCUUGACCUUCUUUUUC